CGCGUAGGCGGCGCCGGAAGUCAGAUGUGAAAGCCCCGGGCUCAACCUGGGAAUUGCAUUUGCUACUCCGGUGCUGGAGUUCGGGAGAGGAGAGUGGAAUUCCCAGUGUAGAGGUGAAAUUCGUAGAUAUUGGGAAGAACACCGGUGGCGAAGGCGGCUCUCUGGACCGAAACUGACGCUGAGGCGCGAAAGCGUGGGGAGCAAACAGGAUUAGAUACCCUGGUAGUCCACGCUGUAAACGAUGUGUGCCAGACGUUGGGGGACCUAGUCUCUCGGUGUCGUCGCUAACGCUUUAAGCACACCGCCUGGGGAGUACGGCCGCAAGGUUAAA
RNAcentral lists this ribosomal RNA (331 nucleotides) under uncultured bacterium. Its description in RNAcentral is "bacterial SSU rRNA". It matches the Rfam family "Bacterial small subunit ribosomal RNA", at positions 568 to 898 of the family's 1533-position model. The record is from RNAcentral.